GCAGCCGCGGUAAUACGUAGGGAGCGAGCGUUGUCCGGAAUUACUGGGUGUAAAGGGUGCGUAGGCGGGUAUGCAAGUCACAUGUGAAAUACCGGGGCUCAACUCCGGGGCUGCAUGAGAAACUGUAUAUCUUGAGUGCAGAAGAGGUAAGCGGAAUUCCUAGUGUAGCGGUGAAAUGCGUAGAUAUUAGGAGGAACACCAGUGGCGAAGGCGGCUUACUGGGCUGUAACUGACGCUGAGGCACGAAAGCGUGGGGAGCAAACAGGAUUAGAUACCCC
RNAcentral lists this ribosomal RNA (278 nucleotides) under uncultured bacterium. RNAcentral describes it as "partial 16S ribosomal RNA". It matches the Rfam family "Bacterial small subunit ribosomal RNA", at positions 511 to 788 of the family's 1533-position model. The record is from RNAcentral.